This is a long non-coding RNA of Alosa sapidissima (American shad), 1608 nucleotides long. RefSeq lists it as uncharacterized. The record is from RefSeq and is a predicted model, not a curated record. NCBI's taxonomy places the organism in Eukaryota, Metazoa, Chordata, Actinopteri, Clupeiformes, Clupeidae. The transcript is spliced from 2 exons.
UGUGUGCUGUGUGUGUGUGUGUGUUACCUGCAGGUCUCUGGAGCUGCUCUGGGCUGCCUUCUCCAGUUCAAUGCGAGCUCUCUUGUGUGUGUGUGUGUGUGUGUGUGUGUGUGUGUGUGUGUGUGUGUGUGUGUGUGUGUGUCCAGCUGGGCUGUGAGGUUUAAAGUGCAUUUACACACUGACCAUAGCUGCCUAGGACUGUUGGAUCUGUUGCCCUACAGAAAAUGGUGUCUUCACGAUGCCAUAGUGUGUGUGUGUUUGUUUGUGUGUGUGUGUGUGUCUGUCUGUCUGUCUGUCUGUCUGUCUUAACGAUGCCAUAGUGUCUCUGUGUGGUCCAGGUUGUGCUGUGAUUGUAUGACGAUGUACGAUUAUAUGACGUCUUUAUAGAUGAAGGUUUAUCUUUAUGAUGCCGUUUUGUGUGUGUGUGUGUGUGUGUAUUCUAUGCGUACAUGCUGCACAUGUGUGUGUGUUUGCUGCAUGCUGCUUGUGGGCUUGUGUGUGUAAGGGCUUCUUCUGACAUGGUGCUGGCUGUUCCAGAUAAUACCAGACUUAUGAAGGAAGUCUGAAUCUUGAUCGCAACACGAUGCCAUUGUGAUGUCACAGUGCCUUUAUGACAUCGUAAUGACUAACUCAAAAACAUUCUGCUGUCUGGAAAUUAUGACGUCACAGUCAGUGUUGUUAUAUGUGCAGAAUAAUCCGAUUAAAGCAUCAAUUGGAUUAUUAACAGAAUACGUAAGAUUCCCAUUUAUAUGCUAGUUUAGCGUACAAACUGAUACAUACUAAUCAAAAAUAAAAAGAUUCCAUGAUAACAUUGAAGAAUCAUAAUAAAUUCCAACUGAAUUUGGAGCACUGGUUACUUGACAAUUCCUAUUAUAUAAAAUUUCAUUUCUGUCCAAUUACACAAUUUACAUGGUAUUUUUUUAAUCACAUUGUAGAGCAUCAGUUUGCAUGCCUUCACAAAUCUUGUUGUUCGCCUCAUAUACCCACAUUGAUUUUCAUUAUCUAUCACCUAGAGAACACUGCAGUCAGGAAAUCUCUUGUGACAUCACAGUGGCAUUGUAAUGUUACAGUGUCCUUAGGACCCGGAGAACACUGCUGUUAGGAAAUGUCUUUUGUGAUGUCACAGUGUCAUCAAAAAUGACAAAAGUAACGAUUCCCAUGCUGUUUCCUUACAUUGGAAUGUGCGUAAAAUUACACAAAUUGAAAGGAUACCUGCUUAUAUGUGAUUUCUGCAACAGUGGUACUGAAAACGUAUUUUUUUUAUAAAUAGAUGACACAUGUACAGAACACACACGGACCUAAUACUGAAUUGAUGAGCUAUAAUGCCGGCCUGUUAAAUGGAUGACAAUGUAUUACAUUAAAAAUGUUGCAAAAAAAUUACAUUUCUGUUUGUCUUAAUUCACUACAAAUAAAAUAGGAUUAGGUCUUCACUUCUACCUUUAUCACAUGGUGAUUUGCAUUUCGGUGGAGGUGUGAGCUAAUGGCUCAAUCAGUCUUAAUAUUUUAAAAUAUUGUUUGUCCUCUGAAUAACAGAGCUCUACCACACCACAUAGUUGUAGAUGCAGACAAAUUCCCCUUUGAGCAAUAAAGGUUUCAUUCAUUCAUUCA